This 29-nucleotide small RNA is filed under the name Bombyx mori (domestic silkworm). RNAcentral's name for it is "piRNA piR-bmo-1298786". Lineage: Eukaryota; Metazoa; Arthropoda; Insecta; Lepidoptera; Bombycidae. The record is from RNAcentral.
UCUCUGGUAGUGUCUUCUGAAAUUUUCUC